RNAcentral lists this ribosomal RNA (232 nucleotides) under Escherichia coli. RNAcentral describes it as "partial 23S ribosomal RNA". It matches the Rfam family "Bacterial large subunit ribosomal RNA", at positions 1 to 233 of the family's 2925-position model. RNAcentral also lists the same sequence under 1 other name. The record is from RNAcentral. Lineage: Bacteria; Pseudomonadati; Pseudomonadota; Gammaproteobacteria; Enterobacterales; Enterobacteriaceae.
GGUUAAGCGACUAAGCGUACACGGUGGAUGCCCUGGCAGUCAGAGGCGAUGAAGGACGUGCUAAUCUGCGAUAAGCGUCGGUAAGGUGAUAUGAACCGUUAUAACCGGCGAUUUCCGAAUGGGGAAACCCAGUGUGAUUCGUCACACUAUCAUUAACUGAAUCCAUAGGUUAAUGAGGCGAACCGGGGGAACUGAAACAUCUAAGUACCCCGAGGAAAAGAAAUCAACCGAG